UCCCUGGUGGUUCAGAGGUUAAAGCGCCUGCCUCCAGUGCGGGAGACCCGGGUUUGAUCCCUGGGUGGGGAA
RNAcentral lists this transfer RNA (72 nucleotides) under Ovis aries (sheep). It matches the Rfam family "tRNA". From Rfam's summary of the family: Transfer RNA (tRNA) molecules are approximately 80 nucleotides in length. Lineage: Eukaryota; Metazoa; Chordata; Mammalia; Artiodactyla; Bovidae. The record is from Rfam by way of RNAcentral.